Non-coding RNA from Myodes glareolus (Bank vole), 1651 nucleotides. The record is from RefSeq and is a predicted model, not a curated record. NCBI's taxonomy places the organism in Eukaryota, Metazoa, Chordata, Mammalia, Rodentia, Cricetidae.
AUGCCUGCUGCCUGUGGGUGAGGAUGUAUGUAAAGCUCUCAGCUUCUUCUCCAGCUCCAAGCCUGCCUACAUGCUGCUACGCCAUGAUGAGAAUAGACCAACCUUCUGAAACUGUAAGCCUCCCUUUAUAAGUUCCCUUGGCCAUGGUGUCUUUUCGCAGCAAUGGAACAGUAACGAGGACAGCUCUCCAGGUCACUUCAAGUGAAGUCUUUCCCUUGACACAGGAGAUUUCCCUCCUUCCUGCUUUGUGCCUUUUAUGUAAUUCUGUCGUUGCCACUUUAACACACUGCUGCAUUAUUUUCUAACAGGCCUCUUCCUACAUGCCUUUUUCCUCCUGCCAAACAGCCAUGCUUGAUUCCUUUUCACACUCCCAGCACCUAGAAGUGCCUGGCACAAUGAACAGUAAGACACACUUAAUAGAUGUCUGAUGAAGGAAGCAGCGCUUGAGGUUCGGGGCCAAGUGAUGGUGUCAGAGUCUAUUCCUGCCUUCUGAAGAGGGGCUAACUGCAGGAAGAUAAGAUGAUCAAGAAAAUUAGAAACACUGUUCCAAGUUGUGUUUUCUGACAUUUCCCCCCCCCCAAAAAAAAACCAGAGGAAGAACAGUGUGGAGGCAUUUCUAGGGCACCUGUCACCAGAGCAUCCCUCACAGCCAGGUACAAGCGCUGUUCUUCCUUGAGAACUUCAACUCUAAGGUUGUUCUAGAUGUUGGCUGUGGAUUUGGAAUACUGUUUUUGUUUUGUUUUGUUUUGUUCUUUGUUUUUGUUUUGUUUGUUUUUUCUAUGGAUGCUGGAGUGAGGAAGGUUGAUGCAGUGAAAUCAGAUCAAGUAGCACAGGAUGCUUAGGUAAGUGCUUGUACUUAAAGGCGGACCUUUAUUUGGUCUUUGAAUGCUUCAGGGUAUCAAAUGAUGUGACCUUCUGGUAGGUUGUUUAGAAUAGCAUUUUUAUUUUUAGGUUAUUUUAGGUUAUGCCUUUUCUCCGCCCCACACACACACAUUGGAAUGUUGCUGCGCUAGAGCCCAACUUCCUUGUAGUAAUUCAUAGAAAACAAUUUUUCUUUAUAUUUUAAAUUUUAAUUUAAUUUAAAAUUUAGUUUAAGAAUUAAAACACAGCAUGCUUUCUCCCUUCCCAUCUGCCUUGUGGCAGGUAGUGUGGGGCAGUGGGUGAGGAUGUGUUUAUCUUUGAUGCCCAGGCGAAGAAUCAGGUCUCACUGAAUCUAGAUUCCUUUCCUCUCUUCCAACCUUGUGCUUAUGUCAUACUAAAGGCUGUAAUUGGCAUUUUUGCUUACUGAUAACUAUGCUUCUUGGCUUUUGUGCUCUAUCUUCUGCAAGGUACUUGUUCAUAGAUUUGGACAAUUUUCCAUGUGAAUCAAUUCUAAUUCAUUCGUAGCAACAAGGUUCGUGGCCUCUGUGUUAACCUACAUGAGCUGUAUAAUCUCUUCGGCAAAUGUCUUCUCCCGGUUGGCACGUGACCGUCACUUCUUCCUGACGGUCUUGUCUUUGAAAACAUGAGAGAUGAAGCUUGCAGAAAGAGAGACUCAUGCAUGAAAACCGCUCUUCUUGAACGUUAAGAUGUGUCCCCGAGAAUGAGGCCUUAAGGUCUCAGGUGUAGCCAUCUUUGUUCCGUUGUGUCCUUCAACAUUGUUACUGGGUAG